GUGCUCACUUCAGCAGUACAUAGACUAAAAUUGGAACAAUACAAAGAAGGUUAGCAUGGCCUCUGCGCAAGGAUGACAUGCAAAUUUGUGAAGCGUUCCAUAUUUUA
Molecule: small nuclear RNA, 107 nt
Organism: Molossus molossus (Pallas's mastiff bat)
Lineage: Eukaryota; Metazoa; Chordata; Mammalia; Chiroptera; Molossidae
Source: RefSeq, a predicted model, not a curated record